Molecule: long non-coding RNA, 1565 nt
Filed under: Cervus hanglu yarkandensis (Yarkand deer)
Lineage: Eukaryota; Metazoa; Chordata; Mammalia; Artiodactyla; Cervidae
Description: lncRNA (ENSCHYG00000026905.1)
Source: RNAcentral
GAAAAAGCAAAGAGUGGGACCACUUGGAGGAACCCAUUAACAUACUGACCACACAGUGUGACCAGGAUGGUGGAGAGGGGAGGCAGAGAGUUUCUACAUUGUUUGGAACAGCCCUAAGAAGUGGAUAGACUAUGGAGACCUGGUUACCCAGCAAGUCAAUAGGAGAGCCCGGAUUUCAACCCAAACCUUUCUAUAUCCAAAUUGCACAAUUUGUGUUUGCUUCUCUUGGCUUCUUUUUUCCCCCAGAUUUUCAUUUUCAAAAUUACCUCUAAAAUCAUUCAGACUCUGCAGAAGGGAAUGAAGGGCCUGCUACUUCCCCACCCCACCCCUGCUUCUCCCUUGCCCCAGGCCUGCACAGCUAACUGUUCGGUGGGUGUGCUCGCUGGCCGCCUUCUCUGCAUGCACAGAUCGCCUAAAGGAGCCAGGCAUGCCUGUCUCCGGUGAGAACUGCCAAGAGGGCAGAGGUGGGGCUCAGGCAUGCAUUGUCCUCACCAGGACCUACCUGAGUGAGGCGAGUGAGGUGCUGGGCUCUGGGAACCAGGAUCCUCCCUGGUUUAGCUGCAGUCGAGUGUCCAGGGAGCCAGUGCCUUUGGGGAAGGAGAGCCGUCUUGCUGCCCUGACUUCCUGCCUUGCUCUGGCCUGCCCUGCCCAAGUGGAGAGCAGAGCCCCUGACAGUGAGAGGGCGGGGAGGACGUUUGCUCAUUUCUGUUUUCCAGAGCCUCUAUGUACCCGUGCUCAGCUACUGUUGCAUGAAAGCAAUAAAGAAGCACUAGCCCUAGUCUUGCAGGCACAUCACAGAGUGACUUUGGGCAAGUCACUUGAAGAUCAGAAGAGUCUAGUCUUGGUUUCUAAGGGACAAGUAGUUAAUAAAUAUUUCUUAAUGGUGAGGAAAUUUUGCUGACUGACGUGGAAGAUUUACAGUGUUUUUGUGAAUGACCAGAAUGAAUCCAAAAGAAGGAUCAUCAGGAAUGUACUGUGACCUGAUAUGUCUCAUGAUUGAAUCAUUCAACAUCUUUCGGGAAGAGAAAAAUCAGAGGCAACCUAAUAACUGUCCAACAUACAGGACUGGUGAAACCCAUUAUGGUACUUUCAUACAGUCAAUUACUUUGCAAUUAUGUAUGAAUGCUCAGAGUACCUCUAUUAACAUUCAUGGUAUCAAAUGAAGUGAAAAGAGCAAAUUACAGAUAGGAUGAUCCUUUUUUUUUAAUUUUGGUAAAAAAUAUGUAAAAUUUACCAUUUCAGCCAUUUUUAAGAGUAUAGUUCUAUGGCUGAUUCAUGUUGAUGUAUGGCAGAAACCAGCUCAAUGUUGUAAAUCUGUUAUCUUCCAAUUAAAAAUAAAUAUAUUAAAAACAGUAUAGUUCUAAAGACUGAAAUGUAUAUAUAUAUAUAUAAAACUGAAUCACUUUGCUGUCCAUGUGAAAGUAACACAACUUUGUAAAUCAACUAUAUUUCAAUAAACAAGAGGAUAGUUCUGUGAUGUUAAAGUAUAUCCACACACACACACACACAAAAGUAUAUCCACAUUGCUGUGCAGCUAUCAUCACCAUCUGUCUACAGAACAUUUU